AGUCUGUGUCAGCAUCCGGCGGAUUCUGGACGGCCUCCUCGGGCAUCGGUCGAGCCACCGUCGGUUGCCUCCGAAGCUGGUGAGACGGAAGAGUGAGUCCGAAAGGAGUUCUGACCCAGCUUCCAGGCCUUUGGUUGUCUUCAAACACGGGCCCGUUGCUCAGCCCCGCUGUCCUCCAGGGGUGAUGAGGACCCUUUCCCGUAUCUCUGCCCCUUCCCGUUCUGAGGACUUCCGGACGGAGGGUUGGGGAUGCUGAAUCCUCAGUGCCAUUUUCUAGAACAGACUUGGUUUGCCGAAUCUGACAUCUCACCCAAGAAAGAAGAAAUUGAGGGGAAAUCAGAAUUGUUUGCCUCGGAUCGGAUCACCACAGGAGGAAGAUGGGCCUUGGAUAGCGGCCGACCAGUGGGAUUAAAAGGAUGUGCAAGUUGAUGAGACUUUAUGAUUCUUGGUGACCUAUUAUGUCUCGGGAUGAAAGAAAAUUGAGGAAGGGGAGGGGGUGUGGGGAGUGUAUUAGAGCAGAAAUAAAUGAUCUGAUCCCUC
This is a long non-coding RNA of Ornithorhynchus anatinus (platypus), 540 nucleotides long. RefSeq lists it as uncharacterized. The record is from RefSeq and is a predicted model, not a curated record. The transcript has 3 exons. NCBI's taxonomy places the organism in Eukaryota, Metazoa, Chordata, Mammalia, Monotremata, Ornithorhynchidae.